This 497-nucleotide ribosomal RNA is filed under the name uncultured bacterium. Its description in RNAcentral is "partial 16S ribosomal RNA". It matches the Rfam family "Bacterial small subunit ribosomal RNA", at positions 28 to 507 of the family's 1533-position model. The record is from RNAcentral.
GACGAACGCUGGCGGCGUGCCUAAUACAUGCAAGUUGAGCGCUGAAGGUUGGUACUUGUACCGACUGGAUGAGCAGCGAACGGGUGAGUAACGCGUGGGGAAUCUGCCUUUGAGCGGGGGACAACAUUUGGAAACGAAUGCUAAUACCGCAUAAAAACUUUAAACACAAGUUUUAAGUUUGAAAGAUGCAAUUGCAUCACUCAAAGAUGAUCCCGCGUUGUAUUAGCUAGUUGGUGAGGUAAAGGCUCACCAAGGCGAUGAUACAUAGCCGACCUGAGAGGGUGAUCGGCCACAUUGGGACUGAGACACGGCCCAAACGCCUACGGGAGGCAGCAGUAGGGAAUCUUCGGCAAUGGACGAAAGUCUGACCGAGCAACGCCGCGUGAGUGAAGAAGGUUUUCGGAUCGUAAAACUCGGUUGGUAGAGAAGAACGUUGGUGAGAGUGGAAAGCUCAUCAAGUGACGGUAACUACCCAGAAAGGGACGGCUAACUACGUG